CCCUUAGAUGUUCUGGGCCGCACGCGCGCUACACUGACACAGGCAACGAGCUUUCCUUUACCGAAAGGUAUGGGUAAUCUUUUGAAACUGUGUCGUGCUGGGGAUAGAUCCUUGCAAUUUUCUCUCUUGAACGAGGAAUUCCCAGUAAGUGCGAGUCAUCAGCUCGCGUUGAUUACGUCCCUGCCCUUUGUACACACCGCCCGUCGCUACUACCGAUUGGGAAAAUUUUAGAGAGUCCUGGACUGAUGAUUGUUCGGCUUCACGGCCUUACUUUCGUCGGGAAAGAAUUCGAUAACAUUUUUCUAGAGGAAGUAAAAGUCGUAACA
RNAcentral lists this ribosomal RNA (326 nucleotides) under uncultured eukaryote. RNAcentral's name for it is "partial 18S ribosomal RNA". It matches the Rfam family "Eukaryotic small subunit ribosomal RNA", at positions 1470 to 1796 of the family's 1831-position model. The record is from RNAcentral.